UACGUAGGGUGCAAGCGUUGUCCGGAAUUAUUGGGCGUAAAGAGCUCGUAGGCGGUCUGUCGCGUCUGCUGUGAAAACUCGGGGCUUAACCCCGGGCCUGCAGUGGGUACGGGCAGACUAGAGUGCGGUAGGGGAGACUGGAAUUCCUGGUGUAGCGGUGAAAUGCGCAGAUAUCAGGAGGAACACCGGUGGCGAAGGCGGGUCUCUGGGCCAUUACUGACGCUGAGGAGCGAAAGCGUGGGGAGCGAACAGG
This 253-nucleotide ribosomal RNA is filed under the name uncultured bacterium. RNAcentral's name for it is "partial 16S ribosomal RNA". It matches the Rfam family "Bacterial small subunit ribosomal RNA", at positions 524 to 776 of the family's 1533-position model. The record is from RNAcentral.